UGUGGACACAGUCCUUCAUUUU
This 22-nucleotide microRNA is filed under the name Monodelphis domestica (gray short-tailed opossum). Its description in RNAcentral is "mdo-miR-7386o-5p". Lineage: Eukaryota; Metazoa; Chordata; Mammalia; Didelphimorphia; Didelphidae. The record is from miRBase by way of RNAcentral.